UAAUCAUCUGACAUUUGUAGCUGGUAAGCUCCAAAUGUCGAAUGAUUACA
RNAcentral lists this microRNA precursor (50 nucleotides) under Hydra vulgaris (swiftwater hydra). RNAcentral's name for it is "Hvu-Novel-13_pre stem-loop". The record is from RNAcentral. Lineage: Eukaryota; Metazoa; Cnidaria; Hydrozoa; Anthoathecata; Hydridae.